Bos taurus (domestic cattle) is the source of this 1716-nucleotide long non-coding RNA. The record is from Ensembl. NCBI's taxonomy places the organism in Eukaryota, Metazoa, Chordata, Mammalia, Artiodactyla, Bovidae.
UUAUUUCACGGUUUCUGUGGCUAGGAAUCUGGACCUAGUUCAGCCGGGUCCUCUGCCUCAGGGUCUCUGACGAGGCUGCACAGGGGCAGGGGUCUCAUCUGAAGGCUGAGGAAAGGUCUUUAUUGCCAGGAUUCAGUCCGUUGUCGGCCGUUGGCUCGAGGGUGUCCUUCAUUUGUAGGCUUUGGCCAGAGGCUGCCCUCAGGCCCUUGCCACACGGGCCUCUCCAUGCGUUGGCACACUUCUUCAGAGUGUGCACACCAGGAGGGCAGUAUAGCAAGAUGGCUCGUGAGGUGGAAGUCAGGAUGUUCGUAACCCGACUGCAGGUGCCAUGUGACCUUGCCUUUGUCACAUCCUACUAGGGAGGAUCAAGUGAUCAGGUCCAGCCCACAUUCAGAGGGUCUGCACAGCGGCCGACCCGGCCGACCUCCGCUCCUCUGCUCAUCAUUCGUGCGUUCAUGCUAAGUCGCUUCAGUCCUCUUGGACCCUAGGAGCCUGGUGGGCUGCAGACCAUGGGGUCACACAGAGCCGGACAUGGCUGAGCAACUGGGCACACACAGGGGCGUGGCAGGUGAAGGAAGGGGAAGAAAGGGACCAGAGGAUGCUGUGUUUCUGGCUCUAAUUAGCUCAGUUGGUUAAGAAUCCACCUGCAAUGCGGGAGACCCCGGUUUGAUGCCUGGGUUGGGAAGAUCCGCUGGAGAAGGGAUAGGCUACCUGCUCCAGAAUUCUUGGGCUUCCCUGUAGCUCAGCUGGUAAAGAAUCUGCCUACAAUGUGGGAAGUUCAGUCUCUGGAUUGGGAAGAUUCCCUGGAGAGAGAAAGGCUACCCACUCCAGUAUUCUGGCCUGGAGAAUUCCAUGGACUGUAUAGUCCGUGGGGUCGCAAAGAGUCAGACACAACUGAAUGACUUUCACUUUCACUUUUCACCACUGCCAUGUGGAAGCCAGGACACCCCCGAUUUGGGUGAGAUGCCCAGUGAAGAUGCUGCCAGCUCCUUGCCGUGUGGUUGGUAAAUCAGCCCUGUCCCUUGCUCCUGGUCUCCCUCUCUCUGCAGGAGAGUGGUCUCACCCACAGCAACCUUCUCCAGUCCCUCCCUGGCAUGCACAUGGUUGCCUAGUCAGAGAUCAGAGAUCAGUAGAUGCCUGUUGAUGCAGGGAGCCAGGAGGGGCCCCAGCAGGCCCUACUCCGGCUUGUCAAGCAGUCUUCCUGCGUCCACACCUUUCACCCUGCUCCAUCCUUACAAGAGGCAGUCCAUGGUGCGUGGUGAUGGGGGCAGGCCUUUGGAGUCAAGUGGAACCUGCAUCCAGUUCAGAUAUAUUACUUAAGCUCUGGGACCCUAGACAUUUUGUCUGUGGAAGAAACGUUUCCUGUUUAAUUGGUGUGUUGGAGGUCUCCAGGACUACCCCCAGCCUCCAUGACUUGGUAGAAGGACUCAUAAUUCAGGAAAGCUGUUCAGCUCAUGGUUACAGUUCACUCUAGUAGAAGAAUAGAGAUUAAAAUCAGGAAAGGAAAGCGUAUACAGAGCAGAGCGCAGGAGCUCCCAGGUGUGCCCAUCCGGCUGUCCUGACCACAGGAGACCCGCAGACAGCGCUUAGUUCUCCCGGCGACCGUGUGACAGCGUGCACAGGUGUGGCCAACCGGACUCUCAUCCAGUCCCCAGUGUUCAGGGUUUGUGUGGAAGGGCAGUCUCCUAAGCAGAGAGCACCCCCAUGGCUCACCAC